Molecule: long non-coding RNA, 1549 nt
Filed under: Homo sapiens (human)
Lineage: Eukaryota; Metazoa; Chordata; Mammalia; Primates; Hominidae
Description: long intergenic non-protein coding RNA 1210
Source: RNAcentral
GAGCAGGCGCGCACCCCAAUGCCGUGGCCGGCGCCCAGUGGAGACUUCUUUCACAGGGUCUAGAAUAAUCUUCCGCGGAACACCCAUCCAUAUGCAGUGUUUGAGAACUAAGGCAGCUCCCUUGCUCUGUUUUCCUGCGCCUAGCCCCCGGACUUUUGUGCCGUUUGCAGCUCUUUUUCAUUUCGAAUACCCGCAUAGACGCGAGCCCACUUCUGCCCUCUUCCUACGCUGGGCGGCUCCAAACCCGCCGCGAGGGCUGAGGUGUUCACACCUGCCCACGGCAGCCUGCCUCGCCCUCAAGCGCCUCAAAGCUUCCUAAGCGCUUACAUUGGUCUUGGGACAGCCGACUUUGGCUUCUUUGUUUGUUUGAGGGACCGCGGAAGUGGCGGGGAAUGUGCCCCCGCUUGAGACCGCUUAUUGUGAGCCCUCAACGGAAAUCCUGCACGGAAGGCAACCGCCUCCCCGCUCGCGUUAGAAGGCUUCAUUUGCUCUGAGUUAUCAUUGAGAACUAAAUGGAGAAGAAAAGAACUGAAGGCCUGAAGAUAUGUCAUCUGUAGAAAAGGUGGCCUCUUCUCAAGCUUUCUUGGCAAAUCAAGAGCUUCUGCCUUUUGGAGGACAUCCUCUUGACCUCCCACCCAUAUCAGCUCUUAGAGGACAUUCCACAGGAACAUUGCCUUCUUGUCCUCCAGUAUUUUUUAUGGAAACAGAAAUUAGGUUAUCUUCCUUAUGCUCUAGAUGGACAUCUGAAAUCAUCAAACCCUUGAGAGAAACAGCCCUCAUUCUUUUAUGAGACAACCUGGAAGAAAACAGGACUCUGAAGAUUUGUCUCCAUAUUCUCUGGAAAGAUGUACUCUGUUUGCAAUAAGAGGGAGCCACAUGGUUUAUUAGAUGGUUAUUAAUUGAGCAUUCUGUGCAAAGAAGUUUGUGCCUUAGAUUUAGAAUUCCACCCUCAGUUGGAAUACAGAUGAUCCCUAACAAGUCACAUGAAAAAAUGAACUGUGGAGCCAGAAGAGUGAGUUCUUGGAGAACUAAGGGCCAGAGACCUGUGAGCAAGAUUUGAUAAUUUUAUAAAAAUUAAAAGACGAUUUGAAAUGUUAUUGGUCUUACUAAAACUUUUACUUGUGAACUGCAAUUGAUGACAUGAUCACUUGUGCCAAUUAUAAUUUUAUACCAAAGGACUGCAGAGCAUUGGAUGGGUUUGUUGGGCAGGUUUCUCACAAACGCUGACAGAAAGGUAUGACGAAGGAUGGGAGGACAAACUGGGGGGGUGCCAAGUAGAAAAACAGAAGCGAUGGCUAAGUGCUCGUCCUGGACUCUGCCCUUUGAUAAGGGACUGAAGGUCCCUUAUGAUCUUCUUUCAAAUUCCACCGUCACAGUUUUAGUCACAUCCAUCUAUAAUAUUAUUUACUAUCAGACUUUUCUUUAAAUUGACUCGCUUUUUCACUUUAGCCUUAUCCCAAGCAAUAAUGCAUAUAAAUCAUAAGUUUGUUGUAAUAGAUUUUUUGUAAUACUAAUCAAAAUUAAAUUUAUUCCCCUGUAACAGAGAUAA